Molecule: non-coding RNA, 100 nt
Organism: Acanthosepion pharaonis
Lineage: Eukaryota; Metazoa; Mollusca; Cephalopoda; Sepiida; Sepiidae
Source: the annotation of a GenBank genome assembly
CUACGGUCAAAUCCCGAUGAAAAUACCGGUUGCCGUUUGAUUACCAAAGUUAAGCAGCGGUGAGUCCAGUCAAUACUAAAAUGGGUGACCGUUUGGGAAA